CAGGUGAGGUGGCAGGUGCCUGUAGUCCCAGCUACUCGGGAGGCUGAGGCAGGAGAAUGGCGUGAACCCGGGAGGCGGAGCUUGCAGUGAGCUGAGAUCCGGCCACUGCACUCCAGCCUGGGUGACAGAGCUAGACUCUGUCACCAAAAAAAAAAAAAAAAAAAAAAAAAGAAAAGAAACACAUGAAAGAUAAAGGAAGUUGUGUAGAGUUUGGGAAGUAAUCCUAGGAAAUACCUGUGGGGUAGUAGGAAAAUUGGAUAGGGAGCGGGUGUGUUAUACAACCAGUUACCACUAUAGAAAAUGGAGUCUGAUCUUACUAGGAAUUUCUGGGAAAUAGUGGAGGACACUCCUUAGAAUUAUCUCAACUAAGCAGAUGGGAAGCUGGGGUAUUUAUACACCAACUCAUCAUCUAUCAGUGGUUAAAGCCUGUUUCUGAAGGCAUCAACACUGAAAUUGCUUUGUGUGCAGACAAACUGUACUCCUAAGGCCAGAGAGUCCCAGGCAGUUGUGGGAAGCCCCAUCAGUGUACUGAGCAUACUUGUAUACACUUAUGCUGAUGAGACCAUGAAUUUCUUCCUCUUUUGUAUUUCCAAGAGGGAUGACCACACAGUAAGUAUUUAAUAAUUAUUUGUUGAGUAAAUGCUUACAUAACUAAAUGAUAUUGCAUGGCACCAAAAACAUCUUUGUUAUUUGAGUAAAUCACAGGUUAGAAA
This 713-nucleotide long non-coding RNA is filed under the name Piliocolobus tephrosceles (Ugandan red Colobus). RNAcentral describes it as "lncRNA (ENSPTEG00000037639.1)". The record is from RNAcentral. Lineage: Eukaryota; Metazoa; Chordata; Mammalia; Primates; Cercopithecidae.